GACGAACGCUGGCGGCGUGCCUAAUACAUGCAAGUAGAACGCUGAAGCGAGGAGCUUGCUCUUCUUGGAUGAGUUGCGAACGGGUGAGUAACGCGUAGGUAACCUGCCUUGUAGCGGGGGAUAACUAUUGGAAACGAUAGCUAAUACCGCAUAACAAUAGGUGACACAUGUCAUUUAUUUGAAAGGGGCAAUUGCUCCACUACAAGAUGGACCUGCGUUGUAUUAGCUAGUAGGUGAGGUAACGGCUCACCUAGGCGACGAUACAUAGCCGACCUGAGAGGGUGAUCGGCCAAAAUGGGACUGAGAAACGGCCCAGACUCCUACGGGAGGCAGCAGUAGGGAAUCUUCGGCAAUGGGGGCAACCCUGACCGAGCAACGCCGCGUGAGUGAAGAAGGUUUUCGGAUCGUAAAGCUCUGUUGUAAGUCAAGAACGAGUGUGAGAGUGGAAAGUUCACACUGUGACGGUAGCUGACCAGAAAGGGACGGCUAACUACGUG
This 497-nucleotide ribosomal RNA is filed under the name uncultured bacterium. Its description in RNAcentral is "partial 16S ribosomal RNA". It matches the Rfam family "Bacterial small subunit ribosomal RNA", at positions 28 to 507 of the family's 1533-position model. The record is from RNAcentral.